RNAcentral lists this ribosomal RNA (253 nucleotides) under uncultured prokaryote. RNAcentral describes it as "partial 16S ribosomal RNA". It matches the Rfam family "Bacterial small subunit ribosomal RNA", at positions 524 to 776 of the family's 1533-position model. The record is from RNAcentral.
UACGAAGGGGGCUAGCGUUGUUCGGAUUUACUGGGCGUAAAGCGCGUGUAGGCGGACUUGUAAGUUGGGGGUGAAAUCCCGAGGCUCAACCUCGGGACUGCCUCCAAAACUACAAGUCUGGACCCAAGUAGAGGCAAGUGGAAUUGCGAGUGUAGAGGUGAAAUUCGUAGAUAUUCGCAGGAACACCAGUGGCGAAGGCGACUUGCUGGACUUGUGGUGACGCUGAGACGCGAAAGCGUGGGGAGCAAACAGG